RNAcentral lists this unclassified non-coding RNA (336 nucleotides) under soil metagenome. RNAcentral describes it as "partial contains 5.8S ribosomal RNA, internal transcribed spacer 2, and large subunit ribosomal RNA". The stretch from base 1 to 120 matches the Rfam family "5.8S ribosomal RNA", at positions 35 to 154 of the family's 154-position model. The record is from RNAcentral.
GAUGAAGAACGCAGCGAAAUGCGAUAAGUAGUGUGAAUUGCAGAAUUCAGUGAAUCAUCGAAUCUUUGAACGCACAUUGCGCCCCUUGGUAUUCCAUGGGGCAUGCCUGUUCGAGCGUCAUUUGUACCUUCAAGCUUUGCUUGGUGUUGGGUGUUUGUCUCGCCUUUGCGUGUAGACUCGCCUUAAAAUAAUUGGCAGCCGGCGUAUUGAUUUCGGAGCGCAGUACAUCUCGCGCUUUGCACUCAUAACGACAGCGUCCGAAAGUACAUUUUACACUCUUGACCUCGGAUCAGGUAGGGAUACCCGCUGAACUUAAGCAUAUCAAUAAGCGGAGGA